CAUGCAGGCGGUUAGACAAGUCAGGUGUGAAAUCCCCGCGCUUAACUUGGGAAUUGCAUUCGAUACUGGUUAGCUAGAGUAUGGGAGAGGAUGGUAGAAUUCCAGGUGUAGCGGUGAAAUGCGUAGAGAUCUGGAGGAAUACCGAUGGCGAAGGCAGCCAUCUGGCCUAAUACUGACACUGAGGUGCGAAAGCAUGGGGAGCAAACAGGAUUAGAUACCCUUGUA
This 225-nucleotide ribosomal RNA is filed under the name uncultured Acinetobacter sp. RNAcentral's name for it is "partial 16S ribosomal RNA". It matches the Rfam family "Bacterial small subunit ribosomal RNA", at positions 568 to 792 of the family's 1533-position model. Lineage: Bacteria; Pseudomonadati; Pseudomonadota; Gammaproteobacteria; Moraxellales; Moraxellaceae. The record is from RNAcentral.